This 299-nucleotide ribosomal RNA is filed under the name Paenibacillus sp. P3E. Its description in RNAcentral is "partial 23S ribosomal RNA". It matches the Rfam family "Bacterial large subunit ribosomal RNA", at positions 1 to 296 of the family's 2925-position model. Lineage: Bacteria; Bacillati; Bacillota; Bacilli; Caryophanales; Paenibacillaceae. The record is from RNAcentral.
AUGGUUAAGCUAAUAAGAGCACACGGAGGAUGCCUAGGCGCCAGGAGCCGACGAAGGACGUGGCGAACAACGAAACUGCCUCGGGGAGCUGUAAGCAAGCUUUGAUCCGGGGGUGUCCGAAUGGGGAAACCCAGCUGUGGUAAUUCGCAGUUACUCAUACCUGAAUACAUAGGGUGUGUAGAGGCAGACCAGGGGAACUGAAACAUCUAAGUACCCUGAGGAAGAGAAAACAAUAGUGAUUCCGUCAGUAGCGGCGAGCGAACGCGGAACAGCCUAAACCAAGGGGCUUGCCCCUUGGG